CCUACGGGGGGCUGCAGUGGGGGAUAUUGCACAAUGGGGGGAACCCUGAUGCAGCGACGCCGCGUGGGUGAAGAAGCGCCUCGGCGCGUAAAGCCCUGUCAGCAGGGAAGAAAAUGACGGUACCUGAAGAAGAAGCCCCGGCUAACUACGUGCAAGCAGCCGCGGUAAUACGUAGGGGGCCAGCGUUAUCCGGAUUUACUGGGUGUAAGGGGGGCGCAGACGGCGAUGCAAGCCAGGAGUGAAAGCCCGGGGCCCAACCCCGGGACUGCUCUUGGAACUGCGUGGCUGGAGUGCAGGAGGGGCAUGCGGAAUGCGCGGUGUAGCGGUGAAAGGCAUAGAUAUCGCGCAGAACCCCGAGUGCGAAGGCAGCGUGCCGGGCCGCCACUGACGCUGAGGCACGAAAGCGCGGGGAUCGAACAGGAUUAGAUACCCUUGUAGUC
This 440-nucleotide ribosomal RNA is filed under the name uncultured bacterium. RNAcentral's name for it is "partial 16S ribosomal RNA". It matches the Rfam family "Bacterial small subunit ribosomal RNA", at positions 338 to 795 of the family's 1533-position model. The record is from RNAcentral.